This 424-nucleotide long non-coding RNA is filed under the name Musa acuminata (dwarf banana). RNAcentral describes it as "long non-coding RNA (MACU_LNC004526)". Lineage: Eukaryota; Viridiplantae; Streptophyta; Magnoliopsida; Zingiberales; Musaceae. The record is from RNAcentral.
GUGUUUGUUUCUCCGUUUGUUCUGGAAUCACACCAGGAAGUACUUCAAAUCUUUUCAGCACUUUAUGUAGAUUGACAAGGCAUCUUCGAUUCACCGUAGAAUUUUGUACGACAACGCAGCCUCUUUCAAGUGGAGGCGACAAGACCGAGAUAGUCAAGUAUGAGCAGGUAGCCGAAUGUCAUCAUCUACAGUACUGACGACAUAGCUUAUUUACUCUGCUUCAGCUACUCUUUGUUGUACGUCUCCUGAAUGCUCGAACUUGCUUAUUACUUUGUAAGAAUUUUAGCGGCAACUGUUAAUUACUAAUCACUUGGUACAAAGAGAAGAGAUAGAGUACACGAGCCAAUGGAAGCGAUGCGGUAUGAAAGAGAAAGAGCAAAGUAUUGAUGUAGAACAAGCUGCAAGGCAGAGCAGCUUUUNNNNN